GACGAACGCUGGCGGCGGGCUUAACACAUGCAAGUCGAACGGAAAGGCCCGGCUUUUGUGGGGUGCUCGAGUGGCGAACGGGUGAGUAACACGUGAGUAACCUGCCCUUGACUUUGGGAUAACUUCAGGAAACUGGGGCUAAUACCGGAUAGGAGCUCCGGCUGCAGGGUGGGGGUUGGAAAGUUUCGGCGGUUGGGGAUGGACUCGCGGCUUAUCGGCUUGUUGGUGGGGUAGUGGCUUACCAAGGCUUUGACGGGUAGCCGGCCUGAGAGGGUGACCGGCCACAUUGGGACUGAGAUACGGCCCAGACUCCUACGGGAGGCAGCAGUGGGGAAUAUUGCACAAUGGGCGGAAGCCUGAUGCAGCAACGCCGCGUGCGGGAUGACGGCCUUCGGGUUGUAAACCGCUUUCGCCUGUGACGAAGCGUGAGUGACGGUAAUGGGUAAAGAAGCACCGGCUAACUACGUG
This 468-nucleotide ribosomal RNA is filed under the name uncultured bacterium. RNAcentral describes it as "partial 16S ribosomal RNA". It matches the Rfam family "Bacterial small subunit ribosomal RNA", at positions 28 to 507 of the family's 1533-position model. The record is from RNAcentral.